Brassica napus (rape) is the source of this 125-nucleotide non-coding RNA. The record is from Rfam. Lineage: Eukaryota; Viridiplantae; Streptophyta; Magnoliopsida; Brassicales; Brassicaceae.
GGAAUAUAAGAAUCCGUCUCUUAAUUUUUAAUUAAAAAAAUUAAGAACCGGCUCUUAAAACUCUUAUUUAAGAGCAUGUUCUUAGCUUUUUUAGUUAAAAGUUAAAAGACGAGUUCUUAUAUUCU